GCUAAGUCACUUUGCACAUGAAUUCUUUGAAGGGCUUACAUAUAUAGAAUUUUGAUAAUUUGAUCAUCAAAUUCUAUUUUCCAUUAUUAAUAAAGACAGACAUGAGUAGUUGCCUUAUGUGAUUUC
Long non-coding RNA from Ipomoea nil (Japanese morning glory), 126 nucleotides. RefSeq lists it as uncharacterized. The record is from RefSeq and is a predicted model, not a curated record. Lineage: Eukaryota; Viridiplantae; Streptophyta; Magnoliopsida; Solanales; Convolvulaceae. The transcript has 2 exons.